Molecule: ribosomal RNA, 791 nt
Filed under: uncultured archaeon
Lineage: Archaea
Description: bacterial SSU rRNA
Rfam family: Archaeal small subunit ribosomal RNA
Source: RNAcentral
ACGGCUCAGUAACACGUGGACAACCUACCCUUAGGACGGGGAUAAACCCGGGAAACUGGGUAUAAUACCCGAUAGAUCUCGGCUGCUGGAAUGCAUCGAGAUCUAAAGCUCCGGCGCCUAAGGAUGGGUCUGCGGCCUAUCAGGUAGUAGUGGGUGUAGUGUACCUACUAGCCUACGACGGGUACGGGUUGUGAGAGCAAGAGCCCGGAGAUGGAUUCUGAGACACGAAUCCAGGCCCUACGGGGUGCAGCAGGCGCGAAAACUUUACAAUGCUGGCAACAGCGAUAAGGGGACCUCGAGUGCCAGGUUACAAAUCUGGCUGUCGUGAUGCCUAAAAAGCAUUGCAUAGCAAGGGCCGGGCAAGACCGGUGCCAGCCGCCGCGGUAACACCGGCGGCUCGAGUGGUAACCGUUAUUAUUGGGUCUAAAGGGUCUGUAGCCGGCCGGAUAAGUCUCUUGGGAAAUCUGGCAGCUUAACUGUCAGGCUUUCAGGAGAUACUGUCUGGCUCGAGGCCGGGAGAGGUGAGAGGUACUUCAGGGGUAGGGGUGAAAUCUUGUAAUCCUUGAAGGACCACCAGUGGCGAAGGCGUCUCACCAGAACGGACCUGACGGCAAGGGACGAAAGCUAGGGGCACGAACCGGAUUAGAUACCCGGGUAGUCCUAGCCGUAAACGAUACUCGCUAGGUGUCGGCCACGGUGCGACCGUUGUCGGUGCCGUAGGGAAGCCGUGAAGCGAGCCACCUGGGGAAGUACGGCCGCAAGGCUGAAACUUAAAGGAAUUGGCGGGGGAG